Molecule: ribosomal RNA, 514 nt
Filed under: uncultured bacterium
Lineage: Bacteria
Description: partial 16S ribosomal RNA
Rfam family: Bacterial small subunit ribosomal RNA
Source: RNAcentral
GAUGAACGCUGGCGGCGUGCCUAAUACAUGCAAGUCGAGCGAACAGAUGAGAAGCUUGCUUCUCUGAUGUUAGCGGCGGACGGGUGAGUAACACGUGGGUAACCUACCUAUAAGACUGGGAUAACUCCGGGAAACCGGGGCUAAUACCGGAUAAUAUUUUGAACCGCAUGGUUCAAUAGUGAAAGACGGUUUCGGCUGUCACUUAUAGAUGGACCCGCGCCGUAUUAGCUAGUUGGUAAGGUAACGGCCUACCAAGGCGACGAUACGUAGCCGACCUGAGAUGGUGCUCGGCCACACUGGAACUGAGACACGGUCCAGACUCCUACGGGAGGCAGCAGUAGGGAAUCUUCCGCAAUGGGCGAAAGCCUGACGGAGCAACGCCGCGUGAGUGAUGAAGGUCUUCGGAUCGUAAAACUCUGUUGUUAGGGAAGAACAAAUUUGUUAGUAACUGAACAAGUCUUGACGGUACCUAACCAGAAAGCCACGGCUAACUACGUGCCAGCAGCCGCCGCCG